UACGGAGGGUGCAAGCGUUAUCCGGAUUCACUGGGUUUAAAGGGUGCGUAGGCGGCCUGAUAAGUAGGGGGUGAAAUCCUGCGGCUUAACCGCAGGGCUGCCUUCUAAACUGUCGGGCUAGAGCACGGUAGAGGCAGAUGGAAUUCCCGGUGUAGCGGUGGAAUGCGUAGAGAUCGGGAAGAACAUCAGUGGCGAAGGCGGUCUGCUGGGCCGUUGCUGACGCUGAGGCGCGACAGCGUGGGGAGCAAACAGG
Molecule: ribosomal RNA, 253 nt
Filed under: uncultured bacterium
Lineage: Bacteria
Description: partial 16S ribosomal RNA
Rfam family: Bacterial small subunit ribosomal RNA
Source: RNAcentral